Long non-coding RNA from Sciurus carolinensis (gray squirrel), 3354 nucleotides. RefSeq lists it as uncharacterized. The record is from RefSeq and is a predicted model, not a curated record. NCBI's taxonomy places the organism in Eukaryota, Metazoa, Chordata, Mammalia, Rodentia, Sciuridae. The transcript is spliced from 3 exons.
GAUCUAGUAGAGGAGGAGAUAUUAAAGAACCAGAUGAAAGAGCUGCCUCAGGGGACAAUUUCACCAAGACAAGAGAAUGACUGAGAUCUGAGCCCCCUCCCCACCACACCAGUGGACAGAUAACCUCUGCAUGGGAAGAAGAAGGACUUUCUCAAUUGAUAUGACGGAUAUGAUGCUGAAGAUGCACACACAGGGGACCAGGAACUGGGCCUUGGAUGACCCUCCCUGUUUCCACCUGUUCUUUAGUUUCUGUCUCCUGCAGUCCAGAUACGCACAGCUGUGCUCUGCCUGAGAUUUCCAUCAACACCAAACUUGUAAUCUUUCUUCACUUCCGAAACCUGCUUCUUCUCCUGGCCUUGCACAGUGAUAUUUCCUGAACAUAUACCCUGUUCUAGAAGUUGGGAGUUUACAAAUCAACAAGAAGGACAGAAGUCACUGUUUCCAUGGAGUUUACAAUCUACCAUGGGGUGAUCCACAACAUCCAGAUUUGUUUCCUCCACCAAGGCAACUCUCUUGAAGCCCAAGACUAUGCCUUUUUGUUCCUGUGCAGCAUGUCACCGGGAACAGCAUGGUGCCAGGGUCAUCGAGGGUGCUACGUCAGUGUUGUCUGAAGUUACUUUCAGGUCACUUUUGCAAGCUGCAGAGUAAAAGAUACCUGUGGAUAAAAGGAAGGUGCCUCAUCACAGCAAAGGCAACAUAAGAAAAGGUCAUAGCUAACGUUAUGACCAACGGUAAAAGACCAAGAGCUCUUCCUUUCAAUCAGGAGCAAGACAGAAAUGUCUAUUUGCACAACUUCUUUCCAAUACAGGGACAGUUCAAAAAUUAAGGAAGAAAAAGAAAUACAAGACACCCAAAUUGGAAUAUUUUUGGAAAUUUUCCAAAUUUCCAAAUUUGAAAUUUUCUGUUUUCAGAUGACAUAAUUUAUAUGUUGAAAAGCCCCAAAACUAUGAAGAACUGUAAGAACUAAUAAAUGAGUUCAGCAAAGUUUUAGGAAAUGAAACUGAUACACAAAAAAAUCUGUUGCUUUUCUAUACAACAAUGAAUAAUUUAAAUAGGAAGUUAAGACAAAAUUCCAUUUCCAAUAGUAUAAAAAAGAAUAAAACAACUAAAACUUACAAAGGAGGCAAAAUACUGAAAAGUAUAAAAUAUUGUUGAAAGAAAGAAGAUAAAAAAAUAAAGAUACCUCAUGUUCAUGAACCUGAAGACUUGAUAUUUUUAGUAUUACCCAAAGUGAUCUAUAGAUUCAAUGAAAUCACAUCAAAAUUAUAAUGACUUUUUUUUUUGUAGAGAAGAAAUAGGAGACUUCAUUCUUAAAUUCAUCGGGAAUCUUGAGAGAACUUGAACAGACAAAAUAAUCCUUUUUUAAAAAGGACAAAGUCCAAGGACUAACAAUUCCUGAUUUUAAACCUUAUUACAAAGCUAUAGCAAUCAGUAUGAUACUAACUUUAAAGCAGACCUGAAGAUCAAUGGGAUAGAAUAGAGAGCCCAGAAAUAAGCUCUUGCAUGAAUGGUCAAAUGAUUCUUAACAAUGGUGCUAAGCCUACUGAUUAAGAAAAGAAUGGCCUCUUCAACAAAUGGUGCUGGGGAAAGAAAAGGAUUCCAUACGUAAAUGAGUGAACUUGAGGGUUAUACUGUAUAUAAAAACAGGCUAAGUAGAUUGAGGAUCUAAAUGUAGGAGCUAAAACUGUAAAACCUUAAGAAGAAAACAGGAACAAAAUUGAAAACUUCAUGUCAUUGGAUUUGGUAGUGGUUUCUGGGAUACCACACCAAGAACAGACAAUGAAGGUAAAAAUAGAUAAAUUGAACCACAACAAAAUAAAAAGCUUCAGUGUAUCAAAAGACAAAAUUAACAGAAAGAAAAGGCAACUAAUAGAAUGGGAGUAAAUAUUUGCAAAUCAUAAUGUCUGCUAUGGGGUUAAUAUCCAGAAUACGUAAAGAACUCCUAUCACUUAACAACCGCAACAGACCAACCGAAUAAUGUGAUUAAAAAUAAGCAAAGGACUUGAGGAGAAAUUUUGCCAAAGAAAAUGUACAAAAUGGACAAGAAACAUGAAAAGAUGCUCAAGAUCACUAAGUACUUAGGAAACGAAUGAAAACCAAAAUAAGAUAUCACCCCACACCCAUUUGGAUGGCUUCUGUCAAAAAAUCAGAAUAGCAAGUGUUGGUAAGAUGUGGAGGAAUUAGAUCACUUGUGCACUGUUGGUGGGAAUGUAAAAUCAAUUACCAUGGAAAACAGUAUGACAGUUCUUUAAUAUACAUGUAAAGCAUAUAUGCACGUAUGAUAUAUAUCCAUAUAUCCUAAAAUAAAUAAAAGGACACACACACACACACACACUCUUACAUUGCAUGAUUAUGGCAAUUCCACACUCAGGAUGUGUAACCAAAGAAUUGAAAGUAGAGUCACAAAGAUAUAUCCACAUACACAUUUUAUAGCAUUGCUAUUCACAGUAGGCAAAAGGUGGAGGCAACCCAAGUGGCUACAAUGGAUAAAUACACAAACAAAAUGUGGCAUAUGCAUACAGUGGAAUAUUAUAAGCAUAAUUUGAAAAAGAAAAUUCCGACAUAUGUUACAACAUGUAUGAAUCUCGAGGACAUUUUGUCAAAUUAUGAAAAGAUAAGCACUGUAUGAUUCCACUUACAUAAGAAAGUUAGAGUCAAUAAAAUAAUAGAGACAGAAAGUAUCUAUGGUGCUUACCAGAGGCUGGGAGGGGGAUUGGGAGUAAGGAGUUAUUGCUUAAGGCAUACAAAGUUUCAGUUUUGCAAGGUGAAAGAAUGAUGGGGAAGGAUGGUGGUAAUAGUAAUAUUAUAAAUGUAUUUAAUACCACUUAAGUGUACAUUUAAAAAUGUUAAGAUGGUAAAUUUUAUGUCAUGUGUAUUUUACAAUUAAAAAUCAAAUGAACAAAAUGAUCUGUGUGGAGAGAACAGUGGUUUUCCUGGCAGUCUCUGUGUGAGGCCCUCAGGGGACUUCUAUUCCUGGGGUAGUGUACAAAGGAAGGUCCAGAUGGUUUGGAGCCAGACAGCUCUGAGUUCAAGCUCUACCAUAGCCAUUAUCGGCUGUGUGACCUUGUGGAAAUUAUUUAAACUCUCUUGGUUGAGUUUAUGUAUCUCUAACAACAGGGAAAUAAUACUUACCCAAUACGUGUGAAAAGCUGAGCCCCGUAUCUACUAGGGGUGGUCAGUGCUAUUUAAGGGGCAGAGAAGAUGGUGUUGAGGUAUUGUAGCCCGGGAGACUGCAUGGGGCGACUCACAUAAGACCCCUCCUCUAUGUCUGAUCUUUGAAAACACAAUUUGUGUGAUCCUCAUUAGGAAAUUAAAAUUUCAUAUAACAUUCUGAGCUCAGUUGAUGUAUUUGUA